GACGAACGCUGGCGGCGUGCUUAACACAUGCAAGUCGAACGAAGUGGCGAACGGGUGAGUAACGCGUAAUCAACCUGCCCUUCAGAGGGGGACAACAGUUGGAAACGACUGCUAAUACCGCAUACUGAAGGAGGGGAGUGCGUCUGAUGAGCUAGUUGGAGGGGUAACGGCUCACCAAGCCCACGAUGCAUAGCCGAUCUGAGAGGGUGAUCGUCCACACUGGUACUGAAACAAGCCCCAGACUCCUACGGGAGGCAGAAGUAGGGAAUCUGCGGCAAUGGACGAAAGUCUGACCGAGCAACGCCGCGUGAGUGAUGACGGCCUUCGGGUUGUAAAGCUCUGUUAAUCGGGACGCGGUACCGGAAUAGAAAGCCACGGCUAACUACGUGCCAGCAGCCGCGGUAAUAC
RNAcentral lists this ribosomal RNA (408 nucleotides) under uncultured bacterium. RNAcentral describes it as "partial 16S ribosomal RNA". It matches the Rfam family "Bacterial small subunit ribosomal RNA", at positions 28 to 526 of the family's 1533-position model. The record is from RNAcentral.